CACAAACUCUGAAAGCCAGGAGGGCUUGGAACACUGUGUUCCAAGACCUGAAAGAAAAUAACUGUCAACUAAGAUUUCUCUAUCCAGUAAAGUUAUUCUUUAAAAUCAAAGCAAAAACAAAAACCUCCCAAGAUAGGUGGAAACUAAAAGAAUUAAUGAAUACUAAGCCAGCACUACAGAACUUACUUAAAGAAAUAUUCCACACAGAAGAAAUUAAAAAACAAAUUCCAGAGCUCAUAAGCAAACCUCAUUUGAAGAGUAACCAAGCAAAUGAGAAAGAGGACCAAUUAAACUUUAGAAAUACAUAAAAAUACAUAAUUAAUAAACAUUUCUCUAAAAUAACAUUAAAUGCCAAUGGUUUUUAACUCUUCAAUUAAAGAUAUGGACUGGCAGAAUGGAUUUAAAAAUGAGGCCCAAUCAUAUGUUGUUUGCAAGAGACUCACCUUAUAGGCAAAAACAGCUAUAGGCUAAAAGUGAAAGGCUGGUAAUUGAUGUACCAUGAGAAGAGAGCCCUAAAACAAGCAGGAGUAGCAACACUCAUAACUUAUAAAGCAGACUUCAAACAAAAAUUUGUCAUAAGUGGCAAAGAAGUUUAUUUCAUAGUGGUAAAGGGAACAAUCCAACAAGAAUAUAUAAUGAUAGUUGUCCAGCGAACCUAGAUGGGGAGGAAUGAAGGGACAAGAGACACAAAAGGUGACAGCAAGACAGGGGUCUGAUCAAGCUGCAAACUUUUAUUGUUCACACAGGGGUAUUUAUAUGCUGGGGAUGGGGAAGCUCUCUAAUCAGCAAUUGCUGGAUGUGGGUGGUAAAACUGCCAGGUGCAAGAUGUCUGAUGAUCCUGAUAACUGCAGGAUGUUCCAGGGAGAUAGGUAGCUGCAGGAUGUCUCCCAGGGGGCUGUCAGGCUAUUCUUUGAAGGAGAAUUUCCUUCUAGUCCCUGACAGAUAGUAAAUAUUUGUGUUCCAAACAUGGGUGAAACUACAUUAAAGAGGCUCUACUCAAAUUAAAAUCACCCCAGUAGAAUAAUACUAGAUGAUCCCAAACACCUCUCUCACCAACAGAUAAGUCAUCCAGAUAUAAAUUUGGUAAAGACUCUUUGAACCUGGAAAAUAGCAUAACAUCAAAUAGAUUUAACAAACAUCUAUAGAAUAUUUCAUCUAACAAUAACUGAAUACAUUUUCUUCUUAGUGGUUCAUGGAACCUUCUCCAAGUAGACCAUAUUUUAUGCCACAAUGCAACACUUAGCAAAUACAAAAACAUCUGAUAUAGUUCCUUACAUCUUAUCAGAUUAUAAUGGGAUAAAAUUAGAAAUCAAUAUUAAAAAAACCAUACAGAAACUAUAACACAUAGCAAUUGAACAAUAUACUUUUGGAUAAUAAAUGGGUGAUAGAAUAAAAUAGAGGAGAAAUUAAAAAAUUCUUAGACUCAAACAAGAACAGUGACACAACAUACCAGAAUCUCCGGGAUACCAUGAGGGCAAUUCUAAGAGGUAAUUGUAUAAUUAUGUAUGCCUACAUAAGAAAAUCCUAAAGAGCCCAAAUAAACAACCAAAUGAUUAGUCUCAAGGUCCUUGAAAAAGAAGAACAAACCAAUUUCAAAACCAGUAGAAGGCAGUAAAUAAUUUAGAUUAGAGGCAAAAAAAAAUGAAAUUAAAAUUAAAAAAUAAUACAAUGAGUCAAUGAAGUGAAGAGCUGGUUCUUUGAAAAGAUAAACAAGAUUGAUAAAC
Molecule: long non-coding RNA, 1724 nt
Filed under: Marmota monax (woodchuck)
Lineage: Eukaryota; Metazoa; Chordata; Mammalia; Rodentia; Sciuridae
Source: RNAcentral